AAGCAUUUUUGUUAGAAAAUUCUAUCAUGACUCAUGCGGGCCAUUCUUAGGAAAGCAAGCCAGCAGGAUGUAAAGGUAUCGGAGCAUGCUCAUACUAUUUUGUUGAGUAAGAUUCUGCAGUCUAACAUAAGAUUAGGGGAUGCCCAUCUAAACAAGGAGGAUCCCUCGAUGGUUUUAGCCAGG
Arachis ipaensis is the source of this 183-nucleotide non-coding RNA. Lineage: Eukaryota; Viridiplantae; Streptophyta; Magnoliopsida; Fabales; Fabaceae. The record is from RefSeq and is a predicted model, not a curated record.